Long non-coding RNA from Papaver somniferum (opium poppy), 1016 nucleotides. RefSeq lists it as uncharacterized. NCBI's taxonomy places the organism in Eukaryota, Viridiplantae, Streptophyta, Magnoliopsida, Ranunculales, Papaveraceae. The record is from RefSeq and is a predicted model, not a curated record. The transcript is spliced from 3 exons.
UUUUGAUGAGAGUAGUAAUUUUUUUUUGAAGAUACUCAAAGUCUUUUUGAUUCACCAUUGUAUCAGGUCCUCGGAUCGAGUGCUCUGAUAUCAAUUGUAGUGAUCCACAAUACAAACUGGUCUCAAGAACAACCCAAGAGCUAAGAGGGAGAAUGAAAAGUAUUUUCAGAUUCAAUAUUCAAUAAUGUUCUUCUACAGAGAGAGACUCAGGAGAUAAACAUGAUUGGCACACGCACCAAUCUCACACACGCCUCCUAAUAAUUACCAACGAUAGAAAACAGUAAAGUUAAACUAGAUGUUAAGGCAGCCGGCAGUGGAUAGUCCUUAACAGGGGUAUCCCUUAAGCUUAGGUUGGGACAUGACAAAACGUACUCGACGGGGAAAAAAUCUUUAUAGAGAAAUGAUUGAGAGUGGUUCCAUUAGGCUAACAGACAAGCAGGCUGAAAGCAAGUGCGCUCUUGUAAAUGAACGUGCCCCCUGGUACUCGUGCUCGUGUUGGACUUACUGGUCUGACUGUUAUUGAGCAUUUCAGAGAUGCUUCGGGUCGGGAUGUGAUUCUCUUUAUUGAUGACAUUUUUCGUUUCACUGAAGCUAACUCUGUGGUGUCUACUUUGCUUGGUCAUAUCCCAUCAGUUAUUGGUUCGCUUUGAUCGAUAAGGCAUCAUGUUGGUUCCGUUCAAAUACUCAAAUUUACUAGGAUAUCGCAAGAUAUAUUUGCAUGUGGGAUAUAAACAAGGGAUUGUCGAUCGAAAGAUGAAUACAAUUGUAUUUUAGUACGUGGCUAUAAAAAUUAAUUAUUAAAUUUGGGUGAAAUAACCAAAUAGGAUAUUUGAAAAGUAUUUUUGAGUCUAGGAUAUUUGAACAAUAUCUUCUUUUACAUGUACAUUUGACUUAAGAAAAUUUUUUUAAAGGUUAUUCAACCCAUUGUGUGUAUAGAGAAGAUAAUUACUAAAAAAUGGUAACCUAGUAAUUUAUGAACCACUGGGAAAAUUCCUUUUUGGUGUUUUUCUUUAGUA